RNAcentral lists this ribosomal RNA (339 nucleotides) under Varanus salvator (water monitor). RNAcentral's name for it is "partial 12S ribosomal RNA". The record is from RNAcentral. Lineage: Eukaryota; Metazoa; Chordata; Lepidosauria; Squamata; Varanidae.
UGCAACAGAGCAGGUAUCAGGCUCAACAACGUUAGCCCACCACACCUUGCCCAGCCACAUCCCCACGGAUGCCACAGCAGUGACUAACAUUAGGCAAUGAGCACAUAAAAGCUUGACCUAGCUAAUAUUUUCCUUGGCCGGCAAAUCUCGUGCCAGCAGCCGCGGUUACACGGGAGGCCAAAGAUAGCAUACUAACGGCGUAAAGAGUGACCACAGAUUUUUCCACCUACCACGGAUUCAAAAAUUCUACCUCAGAGAUAAAAUCCUAAGGUACCAAGAACUCCUAACAUCCACAAACAGGCCAUCCUACUCACGAAAACCAGGACACAAACUAGGAUU